RNAcentral lists this ribosomal RNA (373 nucleotides) under Gymnura micrura (smooth butterfly ray). RNAcentral's name for it is "partial large subunit ribosomal RNA". It matches the Rfam family "Bacterial large subunit ribosomal RNA", at positions 604 to 1121 of the family's 2925-position model. The record is from RNAcentral. Lineage: Eukaryota; Metazoa; Chordata; Chondrichthyes; Myliobatiformes; Gymnuridae.
CCUUUUGCAUCAUGAUUUAGCAAGAACAACCAGACAAAGAGCCCUUUAGCCUGACUUCCCGAAACUAAACGACCUACUUCGGAGCAGCACACUAGAGCCAACCCACCUCUGUGGCAAAAGAGGGGGAAGACUCCCAAGUAGCGGUGACAAACCUACCGAGUUUAGUGAUGGCUGGUUAUCCAAAAGAAGAACUUAAAUUCUGCAUUAAUUCUUCAAGCAAGCAAUAAAAAACUUUUAACACAAGCCUUUUUGUAAAAAUUAAUAGUUAUUCAAAAAAGGUACAGCUUUUUUGAACCAAGAAACAACUUUAUUAGGAGGGUAAUGAUCAUAUCCCAAAAAGGAAUCUCCUCAGUGGGCCUAAAAGCAGCCACCU